UGGACCAUACACCAGCUAAGGCUUUAGAUCCCCAAAAUACUGCUAAAGCUAGUAGUUUCCAAGAAUUGGUCAGAUAAGACCUAAUCACUGAUUCAAAAUCAUUCUAUCUUGCAGGAUUUCGAGAGUUGUGGAUGUUUACUUUAAUACCUUAUGGGCUUUAUCUGUAAUAUUCCAGUUUACUCGAAUUUUUACAACGAUGGCUUUCACACUAUCGUCUUUUUCAAGGUUAAUAUUAUUUUCUCUUUUCUCUUUUUUUUUAUUUUUUUAAUUAUUUUUUAUUAUUUUUUAUUAUUUUUUUAUUUUAUAUUUAUUACGCACUUUUACUCUUGUAAUGAUUCCUCCAUGUAACGAGCAUUCAGUCAACACUCCCACGCCAGAUGGCAUAAGGUGUUGGGCAUCAAGACUCC
This 407-nucleotide long non-coding RNA is filed under the name Phoenix dactylifera (date palm). Its description in RNAcentral is "long non-coding RNA (PDAC_LNC022192)". Lineage: Eukaryota; Viridiplantae; Streptophyta; Magnoliopsida; Arecales; Arecaceae. The record is from RNAcentral.